This 1033-nucleotide long non-coding RNA is filed under the name Lathyrus oleraceus (garden pea). RNAcentral describes it as "Pisum sativum (pea) long non-coding RNA (PSAT_LNC018089)". Lineage: Eukaryota; Viridiplantae; Streptophyta; Magnoliopsida; Fabales; Fabaceae. The record is from RNAcentral.
UACAAACAUCACUUCUUUAGCAUCAUUAUCAUUUUUUACCCGCACUCAUCCACGUACAACAUCGAGUCCCCCAAUACUUCUAAUUUUUUCGCCUUCAGGUAUGUUUCCGUCUAACCAAUGAACCACCCCUCUCUUUAGUUGCUCGAAACGACAGAUGCUGCAAAACAUCAUCACCAUCGGAGACUUGUCUCUCGAAUAAAUCAAUUUUCCAUAGCAACGACGAAGACGAAACAUGUUUGCAAUAUAAUGAAAAGAGAUAUGAAAAAAUGAAUCACACAACACCUUUAUUUAUACAAAAAGAAAAUUACACAAUACACUGAGGCAUCAGACCAAUUGACGAUUCCUCUCACUUUUUACACAUGAGCAUCAAUUGGAUUGACAACACCAUGUACUGUAGUCAAUUCAAUUGAUAUUCGAUCUUUAAAAUUAAGGAUAAACAUCAAUUCAUCUGACACCUAGACUUUAACGUUUUAUUUUACUUUUGAAAGUGAGAUAAUUUGAGAAUUAAUCUAAAAAGAAGAUUAUUUCAAUAAAAAAAACUCUAAAAAUUACAUAAUUUAAAAAAAAAUAUUGCAUUGCCCAAUGAAUGGCGUCUUAUAUGCGUAUAUGACAAACCUACCGGCCGAAUUAGUACUUUUGUUGCGUUCACAAAUGUGAUAUGUCAAACUAAAACAGACACAAACCUUUCCAUUUUAUGUAUGUGCAGCCACCCAAAGCCUGUGUAUAUCUGCCAAGUGCCAACUACUAUUUCCAUCAUCUUGUGUUGUCAAUUGCUUGAUGUUGCUUGUGUCUGUGUCUCUUCCUCCACACUAUUUCCACUUGUUCCCACCCACGUUCACCAUUUACUAGUAUCUUUCACCAUCACAAGCAACGAAUUUCCAGCUUUACCGACUCCAUAUCUCACUCUUAUCUCUCCCCUUUCAAAAUGAAUCAGAUUCACUCCUAGUCAUAUACAGUUUCACUUUUGUUACUGACUUGUGCAGUAUGCGUGUAUUCAUGAUUAUUGUGCAAUUUGCUUAGAAAUAUCAAAAUG